This 2991-nucleotide long non-coding RNA is filed under the name Zea mays. RNAcentral describes it as "long non-coding RNA (ZMAY_LNC005513)". Lineage: Eukaryota; Viridiplantae; Streptophyta; Magnoliopsida; Poales; Poaceae. The record is from RNAcentral.
GAGAACACUGGUGCUCCGAGGAUUUUGGCCCCGCGCUUCAACAAACGCAUUGGCGUCCUCCUCCACGGCUAUAUAAUACGGUACGCCAGAGCCAUACCAUCCCGUCGAGCCCAACCCAGGACCCGCCACGGGUGAAGCAGAGGAGAUCGUCUCCAUAGCUACUCCUUGUCUGGGCACGAGACUGAUGCCGGUGAAGUACUCGAGACAGUUCGUGGUGGCGCGCUACAUGUGGUCGUGGCCUUCUCGGGCGACGUAGUCCACCAGAGCACUACCAAUUGCUCACCAGAGAAAUUUAGCCACCGUGGAUCCGCUCCUCGCCGUGAAUGAAGUCCGGCAUGACAAAACCAUGGGUAAGGAAUCAUCCAUGAAGUUUGGAUCCUCUCUUCAUCGUGUAGAAUUAUUUGGGUGGGGAUUUGGGGGCUGGGGGCGUCGAGCGCCUUCAAUCUAGCCAGCCGCCGCAUGCAGGGGCGACGCCGCCUCAUCCGACCUGUGUGGUGAGGGUGGAUCGGGUGCCAUUGUAUUCCCUAUUAGACGAUUGAGAAUAGAGAUGGUAUAACUUUUUGGUUGUUUUAAAUCAUGACUGUCAGAUCUUGAGGUGUGGUUAAGAUUAUAACCUAGCAUAUCCCUUCGUCGGUGUUUUAUGGGUCAUCGAUCUUCGUAUCAACGACCUCAGUUGCAUACCGGUUCGUGGUCUGGUUCUUGCCAUGGAUAUCAGAUCCAAUGGCCAGAUCAAGACCGUGUGUAAGCCGCCGCGACAACGUUGCUAAAAAACCCUGGAAUCUUUACAAAUCAACUCGUAGUCCAGGUUAGUAUUAAAACCAUUACAGAGAGGCCCUAGAAUUAAUGAAAACAACCCUGAAUCCUCGAAUAUUUAUGCUCGCGGCCCAGCAUACGCAAUAUACUUAUAAAUAAAUUCUGAAAAUGGUUUCCAUUAUAAAAACAAUUCAUAGAUAUUGGAAAACCCCAUAACUUCUUCAUUUUAACUAUGUUUUAGUCUGUUCCAGUUGCGUUAGCUUCGUAAUAAAUUUUCCUACACAUUAAAAGCAUUAUUUCUAUCAUCCUACAUACUAUCAUAAUUAGAUAUUUAUUUAACUUAUGUUUAUUAGACUAACUCUUCUAAUCGAGGCUAAUAUGUUUAUAAUUAUAAAUUUUACUAAAAUAUUAUCUCUAAUCAAGUUAUAAUGAGGUAUCUCAUUAGAUUAUCUUUCUCACAUGAUUUAUAAGAUCAACGUAAGACCUAGUUUUAAUUGCUUAAUCACAUAGGUCUUCCGAAAACCAUAUCUCUUUAACCACAACUCUGAUUUCAGUGAUUCUCAAACCCAUGAUCUCGUAGUAGCGCAUAGAAUAUUCUUAAGUUGUUUGUUCUCGUGAUUGGUGUACUGUUAUUUUUAUGUACUUCUUGUUUAUUUGUAUGUAUUGCUAUGAGUAGCAGUGAGGUCACGAGAAUCUGAAGACCAGCUUGGGAAAGUACUUUGGAUCUUGAGUCUAAGGCAAGUUGUGCCCUUGAUCACUCUUUUUUACCUAAUAAUGUUCUCCAUUAAUCAAUGUGACUUACUCAGGUUAAAUUGAUGUGACCUAAUAGGUUUCCCUAGUUUUGUUUACCGCACCCUUGCAGACAUAUGAACUAUUGGGUAGACUUGCUACUACUCUACCUAGGUUUGGGAUUAAUGUUAUAUUUAAAUUAUGAUCAUGUUCUAAUUAUGCUGUUAUUUUAAUUAUUAUUCAUGACAAGAUCAUUGUGUUGAUUGGAACAUGGAGCUUAACUUGAGAUAACCGUGCUAACACAAGGGUGGAAUGGGACACACUUGACUGACUAAUUAGGAAAGCUAGUGGAGGACUACCUUACCCGAUAGGGGCAAGGGCGGUAGAGGAGUUGCGGUAUAGGAAGGUUCUCAGGUUGAUCACGGUGCGAUGGCUUUUUGAACGAGAGAUUCCUAUAUUGCCCUUCUCAGAAACUGUAGCAGGUUUUUAGAAGCUAGUGGAACUUUGUAAAGGCCUCGUAGUGCUACCCUGCCUCGUCUCCUCGACAAAGAUGAAUGGGAAGUCGCGAUCCCUUGGCAAAUGGGUAACACGACUUGUGGUUAAAGGGCACAACCUCUGCAGAGUGUAAAACUGGUAUAUCAGCCGUGCUCACGGUCAAGAGCGACUCAGGACUCUCGCAUGAUUAAUUGUGGGUCUUAUUAUUAUUUGUGAUCUCUUAUUUAUUUGGGUUGGUAUCUACUUAUACUUAGUAACUGGUAAUAAAAUUUUGACCAACUUUAAAAGCAACGCUUAGCUUUAACCAUCCCCUUUGGUAAGCCUUACACUUCACAUGAGCCCCACUGUAAGUGAGCUCAUGCACAUUAUUCCCCACAACUUGUUGAGCGAUGAACAUAUUUGAGCUCACCCUUGAUGUGCUCACAUCCCCUAGGUCAAGGACAAGUACUACAAGAUGAGGAGCAUGAUUCGUCGCAAUGAGUUCGUGAGAGGUCUAGGCCAUCGUCUUCUAGUCAACUAUGAUUGUUGGAUCAUCGUCUUUGUAUGAUGUAAUUAUUUAGUUAUUUUGUACAGAACUCCAUUAUUAUUAAAGAUGUGACAAUCGUUUCUGUACCAUGAGUCAUCAUAUGUGUGAGCCUUGAUCCCAGCACACAUUUGAUUCGCGCCCGAGUUUGCCCCUUAAAUCUGAGUGUGACAGAAGUGCUAUCAGAGGAAUGUUGACUGUAGGAUGAAACCUAGAUAGAACUGGUUAACCCUUAUCUACUUACCUUUGUUACUCAGAUUUUUUCUAAACUUUCCUUAAUCUUUUCUCAUCUAUUGCUGCUUUACUCUGAUUACUCUUACCUUUCCUCUUCUAAAGACAAAAGUGGAUUUCGCACUUUGAAAUCCUGUACCUAAAGUGACCUUUAGGAAUAGGAGACCUAAUCUUAGGAACAAAAACAAAACUAUUUUUGUAGGUAUCUAUACGCUUGAAUGUUUGUUCUUAUGAUAACUGUUUGAUUUGGUUCUUUGAUU